This is a ribosomal RNA of Gossypium arboreum, 118 nucleotides long. The record is from Rfam. Lineage: Eukaryota; Viridiplantae; Streptophyta; Magnoliopsida; Malvales; Malvaceae.
GAGUGCGAUCAUAUCAGCACUAAUGCACCGGAUCCCAUCAGAACUCGCAGUUAAGCGUGCUUGGACGAGAGUAGUACUAGGAUGGGUGACUUGGUGAGAAAUACUCGUGUUGCAGCCC